This 253-nucleotide ribosomal RNA is filed under the name uncultured bacterium. Its description in RNAcentral is "partial 16S ribosomal RNA". It matches the Rfam family "Bacterial small subunit ribosomal RNA", at positions 524 to 776 of the family's 1533-position model. The record is from RNAcentral.
UACGUAGGGUGCGAGCGUUGUCCGGAAUUAUUGGGCGUAAAGGGCUCGUAGGCGGUCUGUCGCGUCGGGAGUGAAAACUCAGGGCUUAACCCUGAGCCUGCUUCCGAUACGGGCAGACUAGAGGUAUGCAGGGGAGAACGGAAUUCCUGGUGUAGCGGUGGAAUGCGCAGAUAUCAGGAGGAACACCGGUGGCGAAGGCGGUUCUCUGGACAGGUACUGACGCUGAGACGCGAAAGCGUGGGUAGCAAACAGG